Molecule: long non-coding RNA, 120 nt
Organism: Etheostoma cragini (Arkansas darter)
Lineage: Eukaryota; Metazoa; Chordata; Actinopteri; Perciformes; Percidae
Exons: 4
Source: RefSeq, a predicted model, not a curated record
UUAAAGUAUAGCACCUUGACUCUUAGGCCUUCCGGUUGCUACUAGGGGGCGUCAUGACUUUAAGUAAAUAUCGGCCUUUAGAUGUCGUCAGGGUUGGACUCUUAUGAAUCCUGAAAGAGG